GACGAACGCUGGCGGCGCGCUUAACACAUGCAAGUCGAACGGAAAGGCCUGCUUUCCCUUGUGGAUUGCGGGUACUCGAGUGGCGAACGGGUGAGUAACACGUGAGUGAUCUGCCCCCAACUUGGGUAUAAGCCUGGGAAACUGGGUCUAAUUCCCGAUAGGACUGCAGGGUGGUGCCUGUGGUGGAAAACGAUUUUCUAGUGGUUGGGGAUGAGCUCGCGGCCUAUCAGCUUGUUGGUGGGGUAAUGGCCUACCAAGGCGGCGACGGGUAGCCGGCCUGAGAGGGUGGACGGCCACAGUGGGACUGAGAUACGGCCCAGACUCCUACGGGAGGCAGCAGUGGGGAAUAUUGCACAAUGGGCGGAAGCCUGAUGCAGUGACGCCGCGUGGGGGAUGACGGCCUUCGGGUUGUAAACUCCUUUCGACCGCGAGGAAGCCACCUGGUUGGAAGGGUGGUGACGGUAGUGGUAGAAGAAGCACCGGCUAACUACGUG
RNAcentral lists this ribosomal RNA (494 nucleotides) under uncultured bacterium. RNAcentral describes it as "partial 16S ribosomal RNA". It matches the Rfam family "Bacterial small subunit ribosomal RNA", at positions 28 to 507 of the family's 1533-position model. The record is from RNAcentral.